UGCGUACCUUUUGUAUAAUGGGUCAGCGACUUAUAUUCUGUAGCAAGGUUAACCGAAUAGGGGAGCCGAAGGGAAACCGAGUCUUAACUGGGCGUUAAGUUGCAGGGUAUAGACCCGAAACCCGGUGAUCUAGCCAUGGGCAGGUUGAAGGUUGGGUAACACUAACUGGAGGACCGAACCGACUAAUGUUGAAAAAUUAGCGGAUGACUUGUGGCUGGGGGUGAAAGGCCAAUCAAACCGGGAGAUAGCUGGUUCUCCCCGAAAGCUAUUUAGGUAGCGCCUCGUGAAUUCAUCUCCGGGGGUAGAGCACUGUUUCGGCAAGGGGGUCAUCCCGACUUACCAACCCGAUGCAAACUGCGAAUACCGGAGAAUGUUAUCACGGGAGACACACGGCGGGUGCUAACGUCCGUCGUGAAGAGGGAAACAACCCAGACCGCCAGCUAAGGUCCCAAAGUCAUGGUUAAGUGGGAAACGAUGUGGGAAGGCCCAGACAGCCAGGAUGUUGGCUUAGAAGCAGCCAUCAUUUAAAGAAAGCGUAAUAGCUCACUGGUCGAGUCGGCCUGCGCGGAAGAUGUAACGGGGCUAAACCAUGCACCGAAGCUGCGGCAGCGACACUGUGUGUUGUUGGGUAGGGGAGCGU
This 640-nucleotide ribosomal RNA is filed under the name Escherichia coli. Its description in RNAcentral is "partial 23S ribosomal RNA". It matches the Rfam family "Bacterial large subunit ribosomal RNA", at positions 598 to 1239 of the family's 2925-position model. Lineage: Bacteria; Pseudomonadati; Pseudomonadota; Gammaproteobacteria; Enterobacterales; Enterobacteriaceae. The record is from RNAcentral.